GCAAACUUGGUCAUUUAGAGGAAGUAAAAGUCGUAACAAGGUCUCCGUUGGUGAACCAGCGGAGGGAUCAUUAAAGAGUUAAACAACUCCUAAACCCAUGUGAACCUACCUUUGUUGCCUCGGCAGGUCUGCAACUUACCCGGAGGGGACCUACCCUGUAGGGACCUUACCCGGUAGUUGCCGGCAUAACCUGCCGGUGGUCUACUAAACUCUGUUUACUAUGUUAUUCUGAAUAAUAUAACUAAAUAAGUUAAAACUUUCAACAACGGAUCUCUUGGUUCUGGCAUCGAUGAAGAACGCAGC
Molecule: unclassified non-coding RNA, 303 nt
Filed under: uncultured fungus
Lineage: Eukaryota; Fungi
Description: partial contains small subunit ribosomal RNA, internal transcribed spacer 1, and 5.8S ribosomal RNA
Rfam family: Eukaryotic small subunit ribosomal RNA (bases 1-73)
Source: RNAcentral